RNAcentral lists this ribosomal RNA (497 nucleotides) under uncultured bacterium. RNAcentral describes it as "partial 16S ribosomal RNA". It matches the Rfam family "Bacterial small subunit ribosomal RNA", at positions 28 to 507 of the family's 1533-position model. The record is from RNAcentral.
GAUGAACGCUGGCGGCGUGCCUAAUACAUGCAAGUCGAGCGAACAGACGAGGAGCUUGCUCCUCUGACGUUAGCAGCGGACGGGUGAGUAACACGUGGAUAACCUACCUAUAAGACUGGGAUAACUUCGGGAAACCGGAGCUAAUACCGGAUAAUAUAUUGAACCGCAUGGUUCAAUAGUGAAAGACGGUUUUGCUGCCACUUAUAGAUGGAUCCGCGCCGCAUUACCGAGUUGGUAAGGGAACGGCUUACCAAGGCAAGGAUGCGUAGCCGACCUGAGAGGGUGUUCGGCCACGCUGGAACUGAGACACGCACCAGACCCCUAGGGGAGGCUGCGGUAGGGAAUCUUGGCUACUGGGCGAAAGCCUGACGGGCCCACGCCGCGUGAGUGAUGAGGGUCUUCGUAUCGUAAAACACUGUUAUUGGGGAAGAACAUGGGUGUAAGUAACUCCGCACGUCUUGACGGUACCUAAUCAGAAAGCCACGGCUAACUACGUG